GGGCAUAUGGAAGUUCCCAGGCUAGGGGUCAAAUCGGAGCUGCAGCUGCCGGCCACACCCACAGCCAGAAAGGAUCUGUGCUGUGUCCGUGACCUACCCCACAGGUCACGGCAAUGCUGAAUCCCUGAUGCACUGAGCAAGGCCAGGGAUGGAACCCACAUCCUCAUGGAUGCUAGUUGGAUUCAUUUCUGCUGGGCCACAAUGGAAACUCCAACUAGUUCUUUUUCUUAGGAGCCUUUCUUCCUGCCUUGAAAAGUACCAGGCGAUGUGAAAAUGUGGGUGUCACUGUGAUACGACUCUAUCUCCCUUUUCUGCCAGUCACAGAACCCCACCCCCAUCCCAGGGCCUAGGGCUUCAAAACAGCUUCUGACUGUCACCCAGUUUCCAGAACAGGGCCCCAGGGGUGGCAGUAUGUCGCAGUGGUUAAGAAGGUGGGCUUUGGACUCCAACCUCAAUUCUGCCACUAACGAGCUGUGUGACCUGGGCCAGUUACUUAACCUCUCUGUGCUGCUGUUGCCUCACCUGUAAAAUGGGAAUGAUGCGAGAUACUAAAACCUUGUUAAAGGAAUAGACUUGUUAUUGUUAAAUGAAUUUCUACACACAAAAUACUUAGAAUGGUGCCUGGCAAAAACAAGCCCUCAACCAAUAUUAACUUUCCGAAUUAUUGCCUGGCAUAUAAUAACCCCUCGAUAAUCUCUGCUUCCAGUUUUGUUCCCUCCCAUACAUUCUCCACUCAGUGACCAAAGGGCUUUCUCUGUCACUCCAUGCAGGCUUGCCAAAUAAAAUACAAGAUGCCCAGUUUAAAUUUGAACAGAUGUCUGGUAUUUGCUAAAUCUGGCCACUCUGCUCCCAUGCUUAAAAUUUUUCCCGCUUCCCCAUGACCUUAUAUAAAAUUUAAGCUUUUUAGCAUGACAUUCACGUUCUUUGUGAUUCAGACCCCUGCCCUCUGCAUUUAAUCUCAUCUCCCUAUUUCUUCCCACCCCCAGCCCCCUUGUCUUAUGCUCCAGCUGUCUCCAAUUGCUUUCUUGGAAUCCCAGAGAAUGGAUCUUAGCAUUUUGGAGCGACGAUGAGCUGUUUGUCACAUUUUUAGAUGAGGAAGUUAGGGCCCAGAGAGGUUAAAGACCUGCUGAAAGUCACACAGCUCGAAGGGAGGCUCACAUCAUUCCCCAUCGUUUUGUUAGGACCUCAAACCUUGCUUCUGGAGUUCCCAUUGUGACUCAGUGGGUUAAGAAACCGACAUAGUGUCUGAGGGUGUGGGUUCGAUCCGCGGCCGUGCUCAGUUAAGGAUGCAGCGUUGCUGCAAGCUACGUUGUAGGUUGCAGAUGUGGCUCCGAUCCGGUGUUGGCUUGGCUGUGGUAUAGGCCUCAGCUGCAGCUCUGAUUCAACCCCGAGCCCGGAAACUUCCAUAUGCUGCAGGUACAUCUGUAAAAAGAAAAAAAAAUCAUUGGUUCUGAAACACUGAAAUCCACUCAGGUCAGAGGAGGACCCUUUUGAAACAACGAACAUAUUUGGUUUAAAAAUCCUGGCCUCAGAGGACCAGCCAUGUGCUUCUCCUAGGGUUUAGGGGUGAGGAAGCCUGGAUCUUCCGGCCUGGACCAGUUCCCAGGGGCCAGCCUCAGCAAGCUGUGGUGCCUGAGAGGUUCUGUGCGGCAGAGAGUUUACCUGGAAGUGCUCUGGGCUCAGGUAAGGGGGUCCCUGGGGAAUAGGAGACAUGUGUCUGAGACCCAGGGCUGAGGGAGCAAGGCCCAAUUUGCAGCCAGAAUGGAAACUUAUCUCUCCAAGUCCAGGCAGCUGAGAGUGAGGGCUGGGGGUUAUAAAAUGGGCAGAAUGAUCCUGGCUGCGAAUCAUCCUGCCCAAAAACCUGUGGUGGCCUCAGGGACCACAGAGUAGAGGCCAACAGCACGGGACCGGGGGACAUGUUUCCCGCAGGCCUCCCGGGGCAGGUUUCAGCACUCUGCUGUCACCGCCGGCAUCAGACUUAAAGUGGAUCGGCUUCCCAGCCAGAUCCCUGGAGGCCCUGGCUCUGUUACAGCCUCUCGAUGAAAAUAUCUCCGCUCAGUGCUAAGAACUUGAUCUCAGUAAUUGACUUGUAUAAUGUCCAAAGACUGUGCAUAUAACCAGCUCAAAGCGAUGCAUCAUCUUUAGCAAAAAGAUUUAUCAUGGAAUCUGCGGCAGCUUCUCACUUGUCUGGAGCAGAAAUAGGAACAACUCUCCUUGCCAGGAAUCAUCCUUUGUCUCCAAAGCAAAUUUCUCCAUGGUUGGAGGCUUCCUGGGCCCAGACUGAGGCCAGUGGCCAACUUCCUGGCCAAGGUCCCAGUGUCCCAGUGUCUCCAGCUCAAGAAUCUCAGCCAUAGGCAGCAGGGACAAGGAAGAAAGUGGAGCCCCAGUUUAGGAGCCCCGAGUUCUAGGAGUGACUCUGCCACCACUUGACUUGUGACCUUGGGCAGGUCACUUAGCACCUCACGCUUUUACUGCUCCAUCUGGAAAAUGGAAUUUGUGAUUCCUGCUUAACCAUUACACAGCAGUAAUGGAAGAAUUGUCCAUCGCCUGCUUUGCAGGGAGGCAGUGUGGAAUCAUGUUUCAGAGCCUGGGUUUUGGGAUCUGGGUCAGGUCCCAGCUCUGCUGCUGGCUUAUGUCACAUUGGGUAAGUUUCUCAACCUCCUGAAGCUUUGGUUUUAUAAAGCGGGGAUGCUAAAAGCAUCUACUCCGUGGUCGUGUUGUCAGGAGGAGAAAGAAAGAACGCACAGGAGCCCUUGGGAUGGUGUGGGUGCCAGGCGUGCACUCAAGGACUAGCCGGUGCUCUCAUCUCAACCCAGCCACCUGGGGCACCAGGCUGCAUGAGGGGCCAUGGUGGUCCUUAUAAGACAGACCCAUCCCCCCAUCUCACAUCAUCUCAUUGAGCCGCUCACCACUGUGGGUAAGCAAAUGGAUUUGGAAAGAUUAAGGACUCCCACAAGAUCACCCAACCCGACGGCGGCAAAGAUGACCAUUAAACCCAUUUCUAGCUUUUUCUGGCUUGGAAUAUAGUCAGAGAGAGCAAAGAUGGUCAAAUAAGAGCGCGAUUAACAGUGAGGAUGCAGAAGCUGUGAAAUCUCCCACCUUCGCCACGCAUUAGCUGUGUGGCCACGGACAAGUGACUUACCCUCUCUGAGCCUCAGUGCAGGCAGACUCUAUCCAAGGAGCAUCCUGUGGGCUGAAGGUGAUUAGGCAGGACAGCAGGGUGACAUUGAAGUGCAGCUUUGAAGGACAGAAACGCUGUGACGAGCAGAGCCAAGAAGGAGGAACUUCUAGGUAGAGGAGAUGGUGCAAGGGGAGGGGGGGACACUCAGGAGGAUGCUGGGACCCGUGAGCAUGGCAGCUGGGAACCCACAGGGGGCUACUUCCAUUCAUCCACCCAUGGUAGAGGCAACUUCCUUUUCAUGUCCCUUGCGGAGUUCCUGUCUUGGCUCAGUGGUAACGAACCCGACUGGUAUCCAUGAGGACUUGGGUUCAAUCCUUGGUCUUGCUCAGUGGGUUGAGGAUCCGGUGUUGCCGUGAGCUGUGGUGUAGGUCCCAGACAUGGCUCAGAUCUGGCGUGGCUGUGGCUGUGGUGUAGGCCAGCGGCUCCGGCUCCAAUUCAAUCCCACACCUGGGAACCUCCAUAUGUUGAGGGUGCAACCCUAAAAAAAAAAAAAAAGAGACAGGAGUUCCCAUCGUGGCGCAGUGGUUAACAAAUCCGACUAGGAACCAUGAGGUUGCGGGUUUGGUCCCUGCCCUUGCUCAGUGGGUUAACGAUCUGGCGUUGCCGUGAGCUGUGGUGUAGGUUGCAGACACGGCUGGGAUCCAGCGUUGCUGUGGCUCUAGUGAAGGCCAGAGGCUACAGCUCCGAUUCGACCCUAGCCUGGGAACCUCCAUAUGCCGCGGGAGCGGCCCUAGAAAUGGCAAAAAGACAAAAACAAAAACAAAAAAAGAGAGAGACAAAAAAAAAAAAAAAUUGGAAAAAUAAAAAUCACUUUCUAUGAGCUAGACACUUGAUAAUACUCUCUUUAAUUUUCACAACUGUUCUUCAAAGUAGGUAACGUUAUCCCCUUUCAUAGAGAAGCAGCUGAGGCCCAGAGAAUCUAAACAAGCUCCCCCAGGGGGUCCCAAGUGAGUGACAGAGCCAGGACCCAGAGUCCAGUCUGUCUCCCCAGGAUGCUCCGACUGCCCCGCUGUGCUCACUUCCAACCAGCACCGAAGGAAUACCUGCCUCGGAACCAGCUGCUGCCAGCCAGGGGAGAGUUUUCUAGAAAA
This 4272-nucleotide long non-coding RNA is filed under the name Sus scrofa (pig). RNAcentral's name for it is "lncRNA (ENSSSCG00000051893.1)". Lineage: Eukaryota; Metazoa; Chordata; Mammalia; Artiodactyla; Suidae. The record is from RNAcentral.